Molecule: ribosomal RNA, 253 nt
Filed under: uncultured bacterium
Lineage: Bacteria
Description: partial 16S ribosomal RNA
Rfam family: Bacterial small subunit ribosomal RNA
Source: RNAcentral
UACGGAGGGGGCUAGCGUUGUUCGGAAUUACUGGGCGUAAAGCGCGCGUAGGCGGACUCUUAAGUCGGUGGUGAAAUCCUGGAGCUCAACUCCAGAACUGCCUUCGAUACUGAGAGUCUCGAGUCCGGGAGAGGUGAGUGGAACUGCGAGUGUAGAGGUGAAAUUCGUAGAUAUUCGCAAGAACACCAGUGGCGAAGGCGGCUCACUGGCCCGGUACUGACGCUGAGGUGCGAAAGCGUGGGGAGCAAACAGG